CCGAGCGCGAGGCCGCGCAGGGCGCCAGCCCCGCGUGGCCGACCCUCCACCCGUGCUGAUAUAUCAGGCUGCUCUGGCGGGCCUGCCGGCCCCGGCCGGGAGCGCCCGCCAGAGACGCCCCAACUCGUGCUGUCAGUGAUGUCUGAGUUGCAAUUAAUAAAGUA
This 164-nucleotide unclassified non-coding RNA is filed under the name Sawadaea tulasnei. RNAcentral describes it as "sequence contains ITS1". Lineage: Eukaryota; Fungi; Ascomycota; Leotiomycetes; Helotiales; Erysiphaceae. The record is from RNAcentral.